RNAcentral lists this ribosomal RNA (253 nucleotides) under uncultured bacterium. Its description in RNAcentral is "partial 16S ribosomal RNA". It matches the Rfam family "Bacterial small subunit ribosomal RNA", at positions 524 to 776 of the family's 1533-position model. The record is from RNAcentral.
UACGGAGGGGGCUAGCGUUGUCCGGAAUUAUUGGGCGUAAAGCGCGCGCAGGCGGUUUCUUAAGUCUGAUGUGAAAGCCCACGGCUCAACCGUGGAGGGUCAUUGGAAACUGGGAGACUUGAGUGCAGAAGAGGAGAGUGGAAUUCCACGUGUAGCGGUGAAAUGCGUAGAUAUGUGGAGGAACACCAGUGGCGAAGGCGACUCUCUGGUCUGUAACUGACGCUGAGGAGCGAAAGCGUGGGGAGCGAACAGG